UACGGAGGGAGCUAGCGUUGUUCGGAAUUACUGGGCGUAAAGCGCACGUAGGCGGCUUUGUAAGUUAGAGGUGAAAGCCUGGUGCUCAACACCAGAACUGCCUUUAAGACUGCAUCGCUUGAAUCAUGGAGAGGCGGGUGGAAUUCCGAGUGUAGAGGUGAAAUUCGUAGAUAUUCGGAAGAACACCAGUGGCGAAGGCGGCCCGCUGGACAUGUAUUGACGCUGAGGUGUGAAAGCGUGGGGAGCAAACAGG
RNAcentral lists this ribosomal RNA (253 nucleotides) under uncultured bacterium. Its description in RNAcentral is "partial 16S ribosomal RNA". It matches the Rfam family "Bacterial small subunit ribosomal RNA", at positions 524 to 776 of the family's 1533-position model. The record is from RNAcentral.